AAUCGAUUCACAGACCUCAACUACUGCUGUUUCUACUUUUCCGAGCACAAAAUUACCAAGUAGUGCAUCAUCUACACAAAUUCCAUUGACAACAACAACAACAAUAAAAGCAUCUAGUGAAAAAUCGUCUAUUAAAACUACAUACGUUCCACCCCCAUGGAUGGUAAAGGGAACUAAACCACCCAGUUCAACAACAAAAACUCCACAGGUUUCACCAGCAUGCAACACUUCUUCGUGCAGGAAAGAUGUAUCCCUAUUCAAUCAAGAUGGAUCGUUAAAAGACAUGUCUGCUUACGGAUUUUGGGUGGAAAUGUGUGGAAAGUUGAUUCUAUUCGGCAGAAGAUUUGUUAACUGGGAGCAAAACGUUGAGGAAUGUUGUAAAAUCGGAAUGGCACCUAUGAGUAUCGAGCUGGAGACAAACGUGAAUUGUCUUAGUUCUUUAUUUGAAGAAGAAAGUUUGAACAG
Long non-coding RNA from Cloeon dipterum, 465 nucleotides. RefSeq lists it as uncharacterized. The transcript is spliced from 6 exons. The record is from RefSeq and is a predicted model, not a curated record. NCBI's taxonomy places the organism in Eukaryota, Metazoa, Arthropoda, Insecta, Ephemeroptera, Baetidae.